This is a long non-coding RNA of Lepus europaeus (European hare), 604 nucleotides long. RefSeq lists it as uncharacterized. Lineage: Eukaryota; Metazoa; Chordata; Mammalia; Lagomorpha; Leporidae. The transcript has 6 exons. The record is from RefSeq and is a predicted model, not a curated record.
GAAAUGAGAUCAAAGUUCUCCUGCAAAGUUGUACCAUGGAAGGCAGUAAUGCACGAGAAUCUUUAGGCUCCAUGAAGGCAGAGGAAAUGUGGCCCCGGUAACUAGCUCAGGGCUUGACAAUGGCAGAGAGACAGAACAGACAAAAAGAAAUCUUCCAUCUUCUGGUUAACUUCCCAGAUCAUUGCAACAGCCGGGGCUGGAUGUUGAACCAUCCCUACACAAUAGAGAUAAAUCUCACUUGGUCCAGAAGACAAUGGUGUACUGGGGAGACUGGCGUCAAACUAGUCUAAUAAAAUCCCAGAUAUCCUCAGAAGAGUGUCCCCAGGAGAAAUGAGCUUGACCGCUGUCUUCACCAAUUUCACUUGACCACUUAAUUGGCCUUGAAGAAGAUAGAAGACAACACCAUACUUGUGUUAAUUGUAUAUGCCAAAGCCAAUGAGCAUCAGAUAAAACAGACUGUGAUGACAUCUAUGACAUUGAUAUAUCCAUGGUCAAUCAGCCCUGAUGGAGAACAAGCAUAUGUUUUACUAUUUCCUGAUUAUGAUGCUUUGGGUGCUGCCAACAAAAUUCAGAUAAUCUAAACUGAAUCCAGCUGGCUAAUUUA